This 588-nucleotide ribosomal RNA is filed under the name uncultured bacterium. RNAcentral's name for it is "partial 16S ribosomal RNA". It matches the Rfam family "Bacterial small subunit ribosomal RNA", at positions 355 to 1375 of the family's 1533-position model. The record is from RNAcentral.
UGGGGAAUUUUGGACAAUGGGCGAAAGCCUGAUCCAGCAAUGCCGCGUGUGUGAAGAAGGCCUUCGGGUUGUAAAGCACUUUUGUCCGGAAAGAAAUCCUUGGCUCUAAUACAGUCGGGGGAUGACGGUACCGGAAGAAUAAGCACCGGCUAACUACGUGCCAGCAGCCGCGGUAAUACGUAGGGUGCAAGCGUUAAUCGGAAUUACUGGGCGUAAAGCGUGCGCAGGCGGUUUGCUAAGACCGAUGUGAAAUCCCCGGGCUCAACCUGGGAACUGCAUUGGUGACUGGCAGGCUAGAGUAUGGCAGAGGGGGGUAGAAUUCCACGUGUAGCAGUGAAAUGCGUAGAGAUGUGGAGGAAUACCGAUGGCGAAGGCAGCCCCCCUGGGGCCAAAUACUGACGCUCAUGCACGAAAGCGUGGGGAGCAAACAGGAUUAGAUACCCUGGUAGUCCACGCCCUAAACGAUGUCAACUAGUUGUUGGGGAUUCAUUUCCUUAGUAACGUAGCUAACGCGUGAAGUUGACCGCCUGGGGAGUACGGUCGCAAGAUUAAAACUUAAAUGAAUUGACGGGGUCAUAGCUGUUUCCU